Molecule: transfer RNA, 75 nt
Filed under: Cronartium ribicola 11-2
Lineage: Eukaryota; Fungi; Basidiomycota; Pucciniomycetes; Pucciniales; Coleosporiaceae
Description: tRNA-Ala (AGC) (tRNA-Ala-AGC-23-1)
Rfam family: tRNA
About the family: Transfer RNA (tRNA) molecules are approximately 80 nucleotides in length. Their secondary structure includes four short double-helical elements and three loops (D, anti-codon, and T loops).
Source: RNAcentral
GACUGGAUAGCCUAGUGGUCAAAGGCAGCACUUCUAGCAAUGAUUAGGUCCCAGGUUCAAAUCCUGGUCUAGUCA